GCCUGGCUGGCUCAGUCAGUGGAGCGCAUGACUCUUGGUCAUGGGGUUGUGGGUUUGAGCCCCACUUUGGGUG
Molecule: transfer RNA, 73 nt
Filed under: Felis catus (domestic cat)
Lineage: Eukaryota; Metazoa; Chordata; Mammalia; Carnivora; Felidae
Also listed under: 6 other names
Rfam family: tRNA
About the family: Transfer RNA (tRNA) molecules are approximately 80 nucleotides in length. Their secondary structure includes four short double-helical elements and three loops (D, anti-codon, and T loops).
Source: Rfam by way of RNAcentral